CCCUGUGUAUCUCUUCCAUCACCCUUAUAGCCUCCUCCGGGCUCACACACCGGAACCAUGGGCUGGACUUCCCUUUUCUGUACAAGGUCCCCCUUACUGCUUGAUAGUUGGCGGCACGAGUUGCUAUCUUUUUGGCCUCGUCGUUAUCUUCGGGGAGCUUUCCCUUCUCUAGGUAUUCUAGGUAUGGGGUCAUCCAAGUUGGGCUUUGUUCCACCUGUAGCACCGUGCUUGUUUUACUGAAAGCGGGCGUAAGGACGUGUUGUAUGUACACUUCGUCAGGAAGCUGUUCUAGUUCUUCUUUAGACAACCGGCUAAGCAGGUCUGCUUCCUCAUUUUCUUCUCAUGGUAUUCUUUGGAACUUGAUGGUAACUCCCUGAU
RNAcentral lists this long non-coding RNA (378 nucleotides) under Manihot esculenta (cassava). RNAcentral's name for it is "long non-coding RNA (MESC_LNC005169)". Lineage: Eukaryota; Viridiplantae; Streptophyta; Magnoliopsida; Malpighiales; Euphorbiaceae. The record is from RNAcentral.